This 484-nucleotide ribosomal RNA is filed under the name uncultured bacterium. Its description in RNAcentral is "partial 16S ribosomal RNA". It matches the Rfam family "Bacterial small subunit ribosomal RNA", at positions 30 to 507 of the family's 1533-position model. The record is from RNAcentral.
AUUGAACGCUGGCGGCAUGCUUUACACAUGCAAGUCGAACGGCAGCACGGGCUUCGGCCUGGUGGCGAGUGGCGAACGGGUGAGUAAUAUAUCGGAACGUACCCAGAAGUGGGGGAUAACGUAGCGAAAGUUACGCUAAUACCGCAUACGAUCUAUGGAUGAAAGCAGGGGACCGCAAGGCCUUGUGCUCCUGGAGCGGCCGAUAUCUGAUUAGCUAGUUGGUGAGGUAAAGGCUCACCAAGGCGACGAUCAGUAGCUGGUCUGAGAGGACGACCAGUCACACUGGAACUGAGACACGGUCCAGACUCCUACGGGAGGCAGCAGUGGGGAAUUUUGGACAAUGGGCGCAAGCCUGAUCCAGCAAUGCCGCGUGAGUGAAGAAGGCCUUCGGGUUGUAAAGCUCUUUUGUCAGGGAAGAAACGGUAGAGGCUAAUAUCCUUUGCUAAUGACGGUACCUGAAGAAUAAGCACCGGCUAACUACGUG